UCCUCUUGUCAAAAGUAUCUAUUCACCUCUUAGGCAGUGCUGGAAGCUGCUUUUGUUUAAUAAAGGGUUGAUUAAUGAAUAGAGCAAAAGGAGGAAGAUAGGAAGAUAGAGACUGAGAGAAAGAAAGAGAAACUCUCCAGAGACGGAGCCAUCCCAACCCUUUGCAUUCACACGGAUGCUUGAGGUCCCUGUCUGAUUUUCCCAUUUCUUUUUUUCCCCCUGACAGGAGUAGGAACAGCUCAACAUUGCAUCAUUCAGCCACACCUGAGGCUUUUUUUCUUUUCCAAAAAGCAUCAAAGGAACCUGGAUUUUGAGCAUUUUUUUUUUUAAUCAGAGGAAAAUGUGAACGAAGCUUUUUUGAGGGCCAGUCUUCUGUAUCCAUUCAAAUUGUCUUUUACCCAAUAGAUCAAAGUAAAAUCUGAUUUCUUAUGAUGUUUUUUUUUGUUUGGUCUUACGCGGAUGGGAGAAUUGCUGUACUCCAAGAAUAACUUCAGCAGUGACUUUUCAGGCCCUUUCCUCACAGCUUGUUGUGUGCCGGCGCCCAAGGUGACUAGACAGGUGUAUCCCGUGUGGACUUACUCCAGCGCCUGGUUCUCGUCAUCCCAGUCCUCCCGGCGACAGACUUCCUCAGGUGCAAGCCUGUAAUCAUCCUCCAGGGGCUCGGCCACGUCGCAGCGCCUCUCUGCUGAUUCUACUUGGCUCAGAGGUUCGCUCGGCUCAGUUGGCCUUCUUAAGCUUCAGCGUCGCCAUGGCAGCAGAUGUGUCCUAUUUCUCCUACAGUUCCAGUGUGGCGCAGCCUGGUCUCUACCAGAGAGUGACCGGUUGUGACGAAGGCGCGGCGCUGCUUGGCCACGCUACGGGCGCUCUGCUGGGUCAGCUGCUUGUAUCUGUGGGGGGGGGUUACAGGGGAUGUCCAACUCCUCUGGGGUUACAUGCAGCCCCAUAACUUCACGGCCUGCAAGGGAGGGGUGGACGGCCUCAGCACCCUGUCAGGUAACUAACGUACCGCUAUAAUCACUACUUUAACCCCCAUCAUCUUGGAAAUGCAUUGGUAACAACAAUCCAAUAACAACCAACUAACAAUUAACAACUAACUACGAAUAACUGCCUUGAAUUGUUGCCUGGAAACUUGAUAGCAGUGACAAUCAAAUCCUUGCAAAUCACAUAGCGCGGCACAAACUGUAGCUCCAUGAAUCCACGUCUUCAAAAUAGUUCCCUUUUUGAGCGGUUUAAGCCGAUGAGACUUAAUUCAUUCAUCAUUGAGCUUGAGGUGCUGGUUGGUGGUUUCGGUUUACCAAACAUUUUCAGAAUGUUAAAUAUUUCCUUUGCAGCAGAAUGAGCAAACGCACAGAAGGAAAACAAAAUCCCUUUCUAUUAUCAGUAUUCCCAACCCCCAAAGUACAGCAAACAAUAACAGCAACAUUAAUAAGACUGUUUAAUUGCCUGCUCUGAUCCUCAUAUGGGUACAGCAGCUGCUGCUAUCCAGCCAGUACACUUUUAUUGAUUAUAGAACUGAUACAAUCCUGUAUUCCCCAGAAGCCAAAGGCAAUUACUCUGUGUAAACCGCAUCCAGCUGUAUGCAUUUCACUUGUAAAUGGUUUUGCCCGACAUGCAGUCAAGCUGUAGGGCCCAAUGUCUGAUAUUUCCCCAAAGAUUGCUGCUCUACUCUCUUCUGUUCCACACCGAGGAAAACGUCCCUCAGGAAAAAGACUUUGUGGAAACAGAAUAUGAAUAUGGAUUACUGGCAUGAUAAAAUAUGGCAGAAAAGCAACAUAAUUUAGUAUUUUAAUGUUCAGUGUAUUAAUAACUAUGUCCCCAAGCAUGAAAACAACAUUUUCUUGCAACUCAUUAGGAUUAAGAUAACCAAAUGUGUAUGCAGAACAAACAGAGUUAUGUUCAGUAAUGUGUUUUUGUACAGUCUGGUUUUCAAAAGGAAAAAGUUUUGCAGGCAUCCAUAUAUUUUUAUCUGAAUCCCCAAAACAGUAUUUACACAUCAUUUUCACUUCAAAUAGAUAUGUUUUAUGCAAAAGUGUGAAAUUAUAUUACUACUAUAAAAAAACUGAGAAGAACAAAUAAUUCUGAACCAAUCCAAAAAUGAUUUAAUGUAUUGGGGAAAUGGUGUCAUCGUAGCUUUCCCUCAAAUGGCAUAAUGUAAGAAACGUACCUUUCAAGAGUCGGCGUCACACAUCAUAUUGUUCAUGCUCACAUUUAGUAGCCGUCCUUGCACCACUUACUGCCACUAUCAGGACAUCAUUUACCACAUUGCUAUCAGACGCUUAUCAUAAUGAUCACAAAAUGACCUACAAUGCAGGCUAGAUAACAUCUUAUAACACUGUCACCUUAACUUUUUCAAUUUAAUAUUGUAUUCAUGGAGGCCCCAUAUUUUAAAAGAAAGACUGUCGUCUUUUCUUCAAUUUGAAAAUUAUUUUUUCUUAAGUGAAAUUUUAGUUAAUAAUUAAGCUCGCAGAUUCAUAUUUCACUCCCCCAUUUAUAUAUUACACACAGUGUGAGGUGUGAUCUUAUCAGCAUGAAAAACCAAACACAGCACAAAGGCACACAUAUUGCCCGGUGGUUCAUAAAGCAGAGUGACCUGCAUGUGGCUUCUGUUGAACCGUCAUAAUUAUGGCGAAACGACUGAUAGCAUCAAGGUUAACUCAGUUUGGGCAUAAAUAUCUCACAUUAUAAACAGAGACUGUUGCACAAACUGUGGGCAUGAUGUCGGAUAAUGGCGUUCUAGCAUGAUAUUUAUGGGAAAAUGUGUUAUUUUGAAACUUGAUCCAUACUACAGAUUACAAAGGCAGGAUGUGUCAAAUUCUAACUAUUCUUCUUUUAGACAAAUUACCAAAAUGGCUUAUCAGUGCUGUAUGGAUGGUCAUUCAGUCUGCUCACAUCUUCAAGGCAGACCAAACAUCUCAAUAUGUUAUAUUUAAUGUUGCUGUGUGAGUUGGUGGAGAUAUCUGAGAAUGUAUCCUAAUACCUUUGGUAAGCCUUGCACAUUCAAGAUCUGUUACUUACUAUUGCUGUCUUAUAAAAAGGCUCAAGCAUGAGUCAUGCAAUUCAUCUAAUUAAUCUGAGAUUAUUUUAAACAUACUAUUGAGCCCAGCUGCAUUAUUGAUUCCUCUCUAUGAAGCUGAACAGCUGGCUCCCGCUGGCUAAGCCUCCAUCGGACACUGCUGAGGAAACUGGUCCAACUGUUCAAUCUCCAUUUGACCUCCCUCGCUAAUCAGCGCCCGGGGAUUGAUCAAGUAUACCUUAAAUACACACCAGCUUCAGUGGAGUCCACGUUGGACUAUUAGCACCUAUUGAUCAUGAAUGGAGAAGGACUCCAAUAGCGCAGAGUGAAGAGAUCCAUGGUGUUGGUUUUACCUUUUAACUCUCAGAGUUAACGAGAGUUUUUAUUUAAUCUCCAGCUGUUCAAUAUGAAAGUGAUAGUUGACGAUGUGAUGACUAUAUUGCAAGCUAAAGUGAUGAGAGAGAUGGAGAGUGUGCGGGGGGGAAACGAUUGUUCUAUAAUAAAAUGCUUCAAAGAGCCACUGGAGCCCGCGACUCUCCGUCCAUCCACAGGGAUAAAGACACACACUGCACCUGUAAGUGUGUGUCUGUGCUCCACUGCGCCACCUUGUGGUUGAAAUGAGAAAUGUCCCUUUCCAAAAUCUAUAAUGCUGUCAUCUAUAAUGUGUUUCUUGUUGCUAGAGAUUGUCAUUAUUUUAUCUAGACAAAAUGGAUUUUUUUUUUUGUUGGAAAGAACUAAACUAAAUUUCAGAGAUUCAUCAAGUAACCCAGUUGUGUUCUAUUUUAGGAGCUGCAGCCACGGUUGCUGUGGGCCGCAUGUCUCUGCAGUGGUCAGUGUGGGGGGGGAACUGGUUCUGGGAGGUUUCACAUUCCUGAUGGCCAGGACUGUAUUCCUUAUGGAUCCGACAUCUGGAUAAGAUACUUGUGCUUCUUCCUCUUCAAAACCGGCCAGGCAGCUUUCCACCAUCUGCACGUGAGAUACAUGUACAGGUGCUGCUGAAUAUGAAUAUGACAGCAGAGAGAUGGAUGACAGCAGACAGAUGGAUUGUGUUGUCUAGUUUUGCUGCACGCUAUAAUGGUUCUGUGGCUAGUGGAGAGUAUUCUAACCCUCGAAAUGCAUCAGCCUAACUGAAAUAAUGCUGUUAUUUCAAAAGUUAAUAUAAAAUCGCUUUGUGCAGGUUGGCGCACAUUUUAUUUCUAGUUUCACAAGUAAUUUUAGAUCAGGCUGUGCUAACAUUUUCACCCUGAGCACAACAUGGGACGAUUGCCACUCAAAACAAAAGAUAAAAGCACUAUGGUGGUUUUCAACUUGUGACAUUUCCCUUCAUUUUUAUCUUUAUGACACUCGCAUCUAACUAGUCAAAUAAUGUUUCAUCAAAAGGGUGAUAGUCAACCAAACUGAAUAUAAAAAAAAGAUUGUAUAAUCUCUGUUGCGUGUAAGAAUAAUAAUACGGACUAAUUAUAAUUUAAUAUUUAGCGAAAGUGUCUUUGGGCAGUGUGCAUUGGAAUUUGAUACAUAUAACAGUGUCUUCGUAAGGUGAAUCCUAGUGCCGAUGGUUUAUUAAUGCUUAAUCAAGCUUUUUACUUAUAAUCUACCUUUCAAAAUAUCUCAACAUCUAAUAAGCAAUGGUCGUUCAUGGUUCCAGACGAUGUACCCUGAUGUCUUUGGUGGUGCACUAACUAUUCCUCUGAUGGCUUACUGUGCUUGAAACUUGUGGUUUUGAGUGAAAUGUCCCUUUUGGAAUAAUAGACUGGAAAUGGACGCAAUCAGGGUCUGUCAAUCAAGUUUAAUUUGAAUUUGCUGAAACGUUGCCUGUGACUAAAAUGAUGCAAAACAAUUAUUUCCAUCUCUGUAGCUCUCAGCUGUACUAAAUUGUAAUAAAUUAGUCAAAUCCAGCACACUUAAAACCCUCAAAUAGGAUGGUGAACAUGCUUAAUACAAACUGCAUGUUAACAUUGUGAUUUAAGAUAAUUGCAUGUUGACUUUUGUAUUUAGCUCAUAUCACCAAUGUUAGAUUUAUUUUUCAAUACGAGAUUAUUCUAUAUUCGAGGUCCAGUUGAUACCCCUGUAAGUUUCUACGUCAAUUAAAGUAGUACCAGAACUAUCAUGUUUUUCCUAGUUUUCAGAGAGGCUGAACAGGGAGUGCUAUGCGUUAGUGCAUGAACGGCUUUGUGGGCACAAUCCUCCAAAGCGUAUCUACAGCUCACCAUCACCUUGCAGGUACUGCAGUACUCACAGAUCACACUUUGAGCUCUGGAGACAAUUUAUACUCAUUAAACACAUUGAAAAUAGCAUAUCUACUCGUGCAAACUUAAUGAUUGAAAUAUGGAGACCUUCUAGUUGAGCUUGAAUAAAUGACAUAAAACAAUUACGAGUGCUGAUUACAUGCCCUCAGAAAUAAAUGAUCCGAUUUGAAGGGUCUUUAAUGAACGCACAGAGGGAGAAGGAUCAAAAGAGAAGAGAAUUAAUUUGUUAUUUGAUUUACAGUCAUCUUCCGCACUUCAAGUGAACCUCUCAUGUCUUUUCAGUUCCUCAUCUACGCCUCGUUCUUUUUGUUGCCAUUUCCCUGCUGUUCACAGUCAGAGGUGUGUGUACGGUCCUCCACGUGAAGCGUCCUGCUGGAGGCGACCAGACAGAGGGACACCAACCUGCCAGAGGGCUCCCGGCUGUGAAGACCAAGUUGUUAUUUUCAUUUAUUAAAAAUAGUCAUGAUUUAUGACAGCAGCUACAUAAACAGAAGUUUGGAGAUCCUUACUUGCAUGUACGUCGAGCUAUUUGUUGCGGUGGAGUCAUCAGUCCGUCAGCAUUAGGAAGACAUUUAUUGCUUCUACAGAUGCUGUUAAAGAAAUUGUUAAAGUGCAAUCCUUAAAUGUUGCCACCAGAGGACACUACAUGCAAAAUGUAAAACAAGAAACACCACGACAUUGCAGGUCUGUGUGGGUUUAAUCUUAACACAUAGAUUUGUUAAAACUGCACACAUAUUUUUAAAGUAAAUAUAUCUAAUGCCAGAAUAUGUGAACAUCCAAAGUUAAGAAUCCAGUUGACAUGAUGAAAUCUUUAUUCUUUUUUUUAUUUCUUUUGUAUGUUCUUGUAAAACUAUGUGUAAAUGUCUCUAAUAAGCCACCACCAUCAGUCCAGAGCGCAUCGUUCACUAUUUACUCCUCUAAAUGCCCUAAAGUUUACCGUUGAUGUUUUGACACUGACAACAUGAGUUCAAUGUGGUGAAUGAGAAGCACUACAAGGGGCAUCAGGAAGAAUAUCUUCGAGCAACACGUACUGUAGUUGCCAGGUAACAGACCCACUUAGUUUUUAAGGCUUGGCUUUGUUCAAACAGGUCUAGAGUCUGCUCCAUACGGCUGAUGUAUUUGUAUGUGUAUGACCGCUUUUAUUAUACAUAUGAAGCAAAGUGCUUGCAUUAAUGUCUAUUUCCAGGGAGUAGAGGUAAAUCAUGUGCCGUAAUCAUCAUACUACUUGGAAAAGCAACCUUGUUAUAAUCAGUUCAGUGCUGUGAUUCUCAGCAAGUGGUACGUAAAUCGGAUGCUGUAGCUCUGCAUGUUUAUGUUCAUGAUAUUAGCCAAAUCAACACUUUCUGUGCUCAUUCAUGGGUGACACCACAAACCAGUCAGGCUGACUGAAAAAAAUGGAAAUUACCCCCCUUUCUGUGGUUUGAUGAUAAAUGUGCAGUCACGUCUGACCUAUAAUUCAUAAUUAAAACAGUAAAUAAUUAAGAUCGCAAGGUGGAUACCAGGGGCGGCGAAUGGAUGAAACGAGCUGGCACGUUGCAUGCGUGUCCACUCAUCAUUAUUAAUAUAUUGAUAAGUCCUUUGGUUUUCCUAGGGAUGAAUAUUUAAAACACCUACAUGCAACAAUAUCAUGUUUACCUUCCAAAUUACGUAAUGAGUCAUGAAUGUAUCAGUCAACAUCAAACAGAAAAUGUAUAUUUCUUAUUUCUUUGUUGGUUAAAACGGAGGAGUGAUCUAGUCCAACAGCAAAUGAUGGUGUUAAAAUGUAUGCAUUCAUGUGUGAGCUUGAGCCUCAUGCAAAAUGUAUGGUUUUGUUCUUUUUUUCUAUGGGUGAAAGAUAAUCCUGGUAAUUAUUUCUAGUGGCAGUUUUGGACAUUUCAGCAAUUAUGUGUCACUUCCCGCCCUUUAACAUUAUUUUGUCUUUUAAAAUGAAGUUAGCUUUCAGCAUCAUCAGUACCUCGGCUCAAUCGUUGGUUUGGAUCCGCCCUCAUGUGCCUGAGCAACGCCCCGUUUCAUAACUUUUGAACCAUGUCUCAGAACACUUGUGAGAGGCCAGGCCACAGAGGUCAAGUGGUUGUGAUGUUGUACAAGUUUGUAGGGAAGUGCGUAGACACGUGGCCGCACAACAAUGCCAGCUGCAUGGCUCUAUGGAUGCAAAUGUAGUGUUUGGUUUACACUAAAACGUCUCAGCAGCCGCCAGCUGGAUUGCAAAUGACAUUUUGUAGAGACGUUUAUGUUUCCAUAAUGUCACGACCUGGCUCUGACAGCCAUGACCCAACGAGGGAGAGGCAGACACUGCACAUGUUUAUUCACAUGCAGGAUGAUCCACACGCGGUUGCGACGAGGCACAUGGUGAUCAACCGUAAAGUUGCCAGGAAGGCGGAGCUUUAAACUGGAGCACCGAGCUCAGCUGUCUCCAGUUAGCACUCUCCGGGAACCUGCUAUUAAAAAGGGACAUACACAAACACACAAACGAUACGGCAGGGAACCAUCACAAUAAAGGUGGAUUGUAAUCACACUGCUGAUCCCGUUACCGUCUCAUCUACAGCUGCUUUAAGGUCAAAAUCCAGCUGCACUUUGUGUCCAGUGCUAAUUAGCAAGCGGUAAACCAGGAUGGGGGAAGUCAUACAUAUUAAACGUAUUUAUCGUCAGCGUGUCACUGAGCAUAGAGAGUCUUGUUUAAAUUAACUUCAGCUGUAAAGGUUUUCCUUCAAGAUAUGUCCCAUUAACAAGGAUUAACAAAGAGCAGACAUGUUGACCCAUCAGAGUGUAAAAAGUUCAACGGUUAAUAAAAACAAUAACAAUAGGUUUGUGUUUUACAUAAAUGUCACAGUGAGCCAUGGCAGCGUGACACCGAGUCGACAUUCCCACAACUGAAUCCAAAAGGAUGUUCAGUCAUCAUUAACUUCAUUAUUCACACUUGUGCUUUUCCGGCUGUGACAGGUCACAAUGUCCCCUCUUGUGGUAAUAUGCCUCCCUGAGAGAAACAGUUCCUGGAACUGAUUUGAAGUGGAGUUGAAAAAAAAAAAAACCCUGCUUAAUUCAGGUUUUCACGUUGUGGUAAUGGGCAUAGUUGGUGCCUGGCUGCAAGGUCGGAGCGGGGCCAUGAUGAGCUUAAUUGGCACAGCUUGUUACCUAAUCACGCUUCAUCCUGAGAGAGAGCGAGACAGCUUUUAUGUUAUGUUAAAUUCAAUAAAUACAAAAUUUCCCCUGCUUGAAAAAA
Molecule: non-coding RNA, 8479 nt
Organism: Gasterosteus aculeatus aculeatus (three-spined stickleback)
Lineage: Eukaryota; Metazoa; Chordata; Actinopteri; Perciformes; Gasterosteidae
Source: RefSeq, a predicted model, not a curated record